Molecule: ribosomal RNA, 639 nt
Filed under: uncultured bacterium
Lineage: Bacteria
Description: bacterial SSU rRNA
Rfam family: Bacterial small subunit ribosomal RNA
Source: RNAcentral
AAAAACUGAGGUGGUAUACGAUGGGUCCGCGUCUGAUUAGCUAGUUGGUGGGGUAAAAGCCUACCAAGGCAACGAUCAGUAGCCGGCCUGAGAGGGUGAACGGCCACAUUGGGACUGAGACACGGCCCAAACUCCUACGGAGGGCAGCAGUGGGGAAUAUUGCACAAUGGGGGAAACCUUGAUGCAGCGACGCCGCGUGAGUGAAGAAGUAUUUCGGUAUGUAAAGCUCUACCAGCAGGGAAGAAAUACUGACCAUAGGGUCAGCAGACGGUACUUGACUAAGAAGCCCCGGCUAACUACGUGCCAGCAGCCGCGGUAAUACGUAGGGGGCAAGCGUUAUCCGGAUUUACUGGGUGUAAAGGGAGCGUAGACGGCAGCGCAAGUCUGAAGUGAAAUGCCAGGGCUUAACCCUGGAACUGCUUUGGAAACUGUGCAGCUAGAGUGCAGGAGAGGUAAGUGGAAUUUCUAGUGUAGCGGUGAAAUGCGUAGAUAUUAGGAGGAACACCAGUGGCGAAGGCGGCUUACUGGACUGUAACUGACGUUGAGGCUCGAAAGCGUGGGGAGCAAACAGGAUUAGAUACCCUGGUAGUCCACGCUGUAAACGAUGAUUACUAGGUGUUGGGGGACCAAGGUUCUUCG